CUCGGAGCCCACGCGGGCCCGCUCCCCUCCUCCCACUUUGUACUUCUGAAGCGAGCAAGAAGGAAGUGUGAACCCCACCAUGUAGGAGCGAGAGGGGGGACAGGCCUGGGGCUCUGUCCGAGCCAAGGCGAACACCUUUUCUGCAGCCCCAAUUAGCGCCCGGCGGAUUAGCACCUUCUUAAGCUCUGCCUGGAAGCAGCCGAGGUCUUUCGCCGUCCACCCCCACCCGCCGCGGACUGGGAGUCAGGGCUCCCCGCCCCCACGCGCCCCACCCCCGCCCGCCCCGAGAAAAGUUUUCACCGAAAACCCGAGGCUGCCAGAGCCGGAGUGGAAGCCACUGACGUCACUGGCGGGCUAGGGCACGGAGGGCGCCUGGAGACUCGGAUGGCGACCGAGGAUGUGGCUGCUUCCAAGGUGUCUCCAUCUGCGGGCAGGGAGGGGGCUCAGCCCCGGAAGCGGGCAGAGUUUGCACAGUUCAGGAGCGAAGGGUGGGAGCAAGCUGCCCGGGCCUGGCCUACUUGACGGGACGCGGGGUGCGUGCCUGCUUCCCAGGCUCCCCCCUCCCCUGCCAGGUGCCCGCAGCGGGGGCGACGCGGCCAGGGAGGGGUGCACGGAGGUGUCGCAGGACCGAGGCCACGCGCAAGUCGCCCUGUUCCUUGAGGCUUCCAUUUGCACCGGGUCGAGGUCACCGCUGCCCUCCGAGGCCGGGCUCUUCCCCUGCACCCUGGGAUGCCCGCCCGGGUUGUCCCACUCGGGAACAGGACGCAUCAUCCUGGAGCCGGGGCAAGAGCGUGCUCGGGGCCACAGCCCCCUUUCCGCCAGCCCCCAGCCCCGGCUGGGCUCCAGGUUCCCCGUCCCCAGGGUGCCGCUCAGCUCCGGGAUGUACUUUUGGCUCUCAGCCUCUGAAGUCAGGGUUGUCCACCGGUGUCCCCGCAUCCUGAACUUCUGCUGUCCCUGUGGCCAGCAGAGGCGCGGCGCCAGCUGCUGAAGUGGGAAGAGGGCAUGUUUCUGUCGGAGGGGUCUGGACAGACGCCUGCGUCCCUUUACGCAGCCCUGGGGAGGUGAGUUCCCCAUGGGCGGCAGCCACACGCGGAUCCCGGGACCCGAAGCUGAAGGCCUCUCGCCCCGCCCAGGGCCAGGGCCUCCUCUGCCCGAGCCCCUCACACCCUUCUUUCGCCUUCACCCUGCUCAGCUCCUGAUCAUCCUCGCCAAGCUCAGAGGCCUCCAAGCGCGGCCAAGCUUGGCUGGCGAAGCCGUGGCGCCCCGGCCCUUUCUCGCCUCUGCACCGGCUGUGCUCCGAGCUGCCUCCCUUCCAAGGACACUGGGCAGCCGGCUUCCUUCUGCUUCUGCCCCCCUCCCCCCGCUUAGAAACGGUACUUUCCGUUGGGUCCCCCAGAGCAGCCCAGGGUCUAACUCCCAACGCCCCGCGGCCCCAUGUUAAAGCUCCUGCGGUGAGCGGGCCUUGCGCGCAGCGCCCUGGCAGUCUUGCAAACAGGAUUCCUGGGAAAGUUUGCUCGGACUCCGUCAGCCCAGGACAGACCCCCCCCCCCACCUCUGCUGCUCUCGACCUCUGCCCCCAGAGGCAGGAGUUGGGCUUCCUGGGAGCAGCAAGCCAACGCCACGGCCCCUCCUCCCUCCACAGCUGCCGGUCCCGAGGGCGCAGGACCCAGCCCCAGGCUGUGCUCCCGGAGCCGGGGGAGGAGAGCGAACCUCAGGGCUGGCUCUCCACAGCCGCCGGAGCUGAGUGCAUCCCGAUCGGCUUUUAGGAUGGCAUUGACUGGGACAAGCUGUUCCCAGCCCCGUAAGCGUUAAUCUGCCUGUUAAUCAAAGCACUGAGGGGCUCAAUGAGGGUUUUAUUAGCGACCGGAGAGCAGAGGCAGCAGCCAGGGAUCAAAAGCCAGGGUCCCAGGUACUUUGUCAGCAAGGCACUCAAAAAAAUUGUAUUUUCAAUUAGAGAACAAUUCGGGGCUUUUCAUCAUCUCCUAACCAGGUCUCACAGAUGCUGACUUCCAGACUGUGCGCAGGGGAGAACCAAAUGCCCGGGGGCGGACCGGGGCGGCCGAGGGGCCCUGACGCCUCCCGACGCAGUCGAAAGGGAAGCCGCGAGCCACACCGCCAAUGUGGGCUUCAGACCCUGGGUCGCCCGCGCCACUGCCGGGCUGCCGGAAGUUUACGGAGCCGGAGCCGAGAGACUCCCACGCGCCUCCUCUGCCCUGGAGGGAGGCUGGGUCCCCUCCAGGGUGCCUCUCAAACCCUAAAACAAAUACAUAAAAGCCCAGGCCUUGGGGACUUUUGAACAGCAAUUGCUCCAAUAAUCCAAAUUGUACGAGAACUCCAGGGAAAAGAGCCAACCCAGCCACACCCGCCCUGCGAUCGCGAGGGCAGCGGCGAGGCCACCGCGAGGACUCGGUCAGAGGCGAUUAUGUCACCGCGUUUUCUCGCCGUGACAGCCGAAUAAACACGAUCUCCAAUAAACAUCUCUAAUGAGGGAGGAGGCCCGAGGACGGCUGGGUUUGAUUUAUGACUGGAGAAGGUCCUCUGCCCACAGCGAGGCGGGCAGCCUGCUCUCCGCUCAGCUCGAGGAGAGAUCCGCGUGGGACCCAGCCCAGAAAUUAAGAGAAGAAGAGGAGAAGUGCGCACACUACUGAGAAAACACCAUGUGCAUCUCUGGAGCAUUGCAGACGCCAUACCAGCGUAGCCCAGAGAAGAAACCAGCUGGGCUGUGAGGGUGCUUUCCUGCUCCUCCCUUCCUUCUUUCGUUUUAACCCUUUUUAUAUUUUAGAUGAAAAUUGCGGGAACGUUUUGUGAACCCGAACGUAAAAAAGGAAGCUAUUUAGCAGAGGCGCUGUUUGCGGCUCUUCGCCUGUCUGAGGGACUCCAUUGGGCCUGCUCUGCACACCUCUGAUUUCUCUGCCCUUACAAGAAGAGCAUCUCGGGCCUCCUUCUCUGCAAAAAGUUUUCUUCAACCUUGGAGAAAAAUAUCCAGUCCUUCCAGUUAGAGUUCCCAGUACUAAAUCCCUACUUCAGUCAGUUCAAGGAAUCGGCCACCCUCUCCUAAGCGCGUUUCCUAUGAAGGCAUCGCGCACUGUGUUUGAUUUCUGUCUCUCCGUCUGGGUGGAGAUGGAGACAUCAGCUGAAUUCCCUGGGGGUGAUUGGAUGCGACUCGCUGCAAGUCGACAGGCACGUCCUGGAUGUUAGAGAUUCACUUCUGCUCAACGUGACAAGGCCGGCUUCGAUCUGCAAUUGUAUUUGAAUGGGCAAUGAGCGGAAAGAUGCCUCGUCAUUAAGCCUGCUUCUACUUUAGCAAAAUAAGGGGCAGCUUCAUUUGCACACAAAUGCUCAUGAAGCUCGGAUUCCUGCAACUCUUUAAUAAAGGGGUGGCUGUGUAAUCUAAACUGGAGGUGAGGAGGAGGCAGAGGGAGAUGAGGUGCUCCACUGCGUGCCCCCCAAGGUCUGUGUGAUCCAGUUGACUUUUUUACUUGAAAUCUUAAAUAAGAUGGGAGUUGUAACAAGAGGAUUGGCACUUACUCCGUGACCCUUAUAAUUGGAUUAAAUAUAGACUGAGACAUACAAAGACACCGGAGAUUGACACCUGCCAACCGGACUUCCUUAUGACUGAUGGUGAUGCUUCGUGCUGGCAACAAUAAUGAAAUAAAUUGUACGGAUAAAACAGCGCAUUUGUCAUUUCCGUGCCAUGAGUGAGGAAGUCAACAGUGAGGCAAGCUGUUAGCUGACAGGAGAGAGCGGGAGGCGAGCUAAAGAGAUAAAUAAGG
RNAcentral lists this long non-coding RNA (3773 nucleotides) under Heterocephalus glaber (naked mole-rat). RNAcentral describes it as "lncRNA (ENSHGLG00000047804.1)". The record is from RNAcentral. Lineage: Eukaryota; Metazoa; Chordata; Mammalia; Rodentia; Bathyergidae.